This 471-nucleotide ribosomal RNA is filed under the name uncultured bacterium. Its description in RNAcentral is "partial 16S ribosomal RNA". It matches the Rfam family "Bacterial small subunit ribosomal RNA", at positions 28 to 507 of the family's 1533-position model. The record is from RNAcentral.
GACGAACGCUGGCGGCGUGCUUAACACAUGCAAGUCGAACGAUGAAGCCUAGCUUGCUUGGUGGGUUAGUGGCGAACGGGUGAGUAAUACGUGAGUAACCUACCUUUAACUCUGGGAUAAGCCCUGGGAACUGGGUCUAAUACCGGAGACGACCAAUCUCCGCACGGGGUGUUGGUUGAAAGCGUUAGGUAGUGGGUAUAGAUGGGCUCACGGCCUAUCAGCUUGUUGGUGAGGUAACGGCUCACCAAGGCGACGACGGGUAGCCGGCCUGAGAGGGUGACCGGCCACACUGGGACUGAGACACGGCCCAGACUCCUACGGGAGGCAGCAGUGGGGAAUAUUGCACAAUGGGCGCAAGCCUGAUGCAGCGACGCCGCGUGAGGGAUGACGGCCUUCGGGUUGUAAACCUCUGUUAGCAGGGAAGAAGAGAGAUUGACGGUACCUGCAGAGAAAGCGCCGGCUAACUACGUG